AGUUCAAACUAUAAUCAAGUGAAU
This 24-nucleotide small nuclear RNA is filed under the name Arabidopsis thaliana (thale cress). Its description in RNAcentral is "snRNA_12673". The record is from RNAcentral. Lineage: Eukaryota; Viridiplantae; Streptophyta; Magnoliopsida; Brassicales; Brassicaceae.